GACGAACCGAGCGAACGUUGUUCGGAAUCACUGGGCUUAAAGGGCGCGUAGGCGGGCUGUCAAGUCUGGGGUGAAAUCCCGCGGCUCAACCGUGGAACUGCCUCAGAUACUGACGGUCUCGAGGGAGGUAGGGGCGAGCGGAACUGAUGGUGGAGCGGUGAAAUGCGUUGAUAUCAUCAGGAACACCGGUGGCGAAGGCGGCAUCCUGGACCGAGAUUGACGCUGAGGCGCGAAAGCCAGGGGAGCAAACGGG
This 253-nucleotide ribosomal RNA is filed under the name uncultured bacterium. Its description in RNAcentral is "partial 16S ribosomal RNA". It matches the Rfam family "Bacterial small subunit ribosomal RNA", at positions 524 to 776 of the family's 1533-position model. The record is from RNAcentral.